This 70-nucleotide transfer RNA is filed under the name Cavia porcellus (domestic guinea pig). It matches the Rfam family "tRNA". Rfam says of the family: Transfer RNA (tRNA) molecules are approximately 80 nucleotides in length. Their secondary structure includes four short double-helical elements and three loops (D, anti-codon, and T loops). Further hydrogen bonds mediate the characteristic L-shaped molecular structure. tRNAs have two regions of fundamental functional importance: the anti-codon, which is responsible for specific mRNA codon recognition, and the 3' end, to which the tRNAs corresponding amino acid is attached (by aminoacyl-tRNA synthetases). tRNAs cope with the degeneracy of the genetic code in two manners: having more than one tRNA (with a specific anti-codon) for a particular amino acid; and 'wobble' base-pairing, i.e. permitting non-standard base-pairing at the 3rd anti-codon position. Lineage: Eukaryota; Metazoa; Chordata; Mammalia; Rodentia; Caviidae. The record is from Rfam by way of RNAcentral.
UGGGCUGUGGCUUAGUGAUAGAGCAUGUGUCUAGCACGCACAAAGCUCUGGGUUCAAUCCUCAGCACCAA